This 116-nucleotide transfer RNA is filed under the name Ralstonia solanacearum. Its description in RNAcentral is "tRNA-Leu". Lineage: Bacteria; Pseudomonadati; Pseudomonadota; Betaproteobacteria; Burkholderiales; Burkholderiaceae. RNAcentral also lists the same sequence under 2 other names. The record is from RNAcentral.
GGGUGCUGAAUCAGCGGUAGAGCAGGGCGCGGAGGCCCUUUGUUUAUAAGGGCCGGAGCGCUAAGUCUGCCUUCACACGGCAGGGGUCACAGGUUCAAUCCCUGUACCACCCACCA